Molecule: ribosomal RNA, 400 nt
Filed under: uncultured bacterium
Lineage: Bacteria
Description: bacterial SSU rRNA
Rfam family: Bacterial small subunit ribosomal RNA
Source: RNAcentral
UGGGGGAUAUUGCACAAUGGAGGAAACUCUGAUGCAGCGACGCCGCGUGGGUGAAGAAGUAUUUCGGUAUGUAAAGCCCUAUCAGCAGGAACGAUAAUGACGGUACCUGACUAAGAAGCCCCGGCUAACUACGUGCCAGCAGCCGCGGUAAUACGUAGGGGGCAAGCGUUAUCCGGAUUUACUGGGUGUAAAGGGAGCGCAGACGGAGAGGUAAGUCAGAUGUGGAAGCCCCGGGCAUAACCCGGGGAGUGCAUUUGAAACUAUCACUCUUGAGUACUGGAGAGGUAAGCGGAAUUCCUGGUGUAGCGGUGAAAUGCGUAGAUAUCAGGAGGAACACCGGUGGCGAAGGCGGCUUACUGGACAGAAACUGACGUUGAGGCUCGAAAGCGUGGGUAGCAAA